Molecule: ribosomal RNA, 464 nt
Filed under: Vreelandella stevensii
Lineage: Bacteria; Pseudomonadati; Pseudomonadota; Gammaproteobacteria; Oceanospirillales; Halomonadaceae
Description: partial 16S ribosomal RNA
Rfam family: Bacterial small subunit ribosomal RNA
Source: RNAcentral
CCUACGGUGGGCAGCAGUGGGGAAUAUUGGACAAUGGGCGAAAGCCUGAUCCAGCCAUGCCGCGUGUGUGAAGAAGGCCUUCGGGUUGUAAAGCACUUUCAGUGGGGAAGAAAGCCUUGGGGCUAAUACCCUCGAGGAAGGACAUCACCCACAGAAGAAGCACCGGCUAACUCCGUGCCAGCAGCCGCGGUAAUACGGAGGGUGGAGCGUUAAUCGGAAUUACUGGGCGUAAAGCGCGCGUAGGCGGUCUGAUAAGCCGGUUGUGAAAGCCCCGGGCUCAACCUGGGAACGGCAUCCGGAACUGUCAGGCUAGAGUGCAGGAGAGGAAGGUAGAAUUCCCGGUGUAGCGGUGAAAUAGGUAGAGAUCGGGAGGAAUACCAGUGGCGAAGGCGGCCUUCUGGACUGACACUGACGCUGAGGUGCGAAAGCGUGGGUAGCAAACAGGAUUAGAUACCCUGGUAGUC